RNAcentral lists this ribosomal RNA (534 nucleotides) under uncultured Acidobacteriota bacterium. RNAcentral describes it as "bacterial SSU rRNA". It matches the Rfam family "Bacterial small subunit ribosomal RNA", at positions 8 to 524 of the family's 1533-position model. Lineage: Bacteria; Pseudomonadati; Acidobacteriota. The record is from RNAcentral.
AGAGUUUGAUCUUGGCUCAGAAUCAACGCUGGCGGCGUGCCUAACACAUGCAAGUCGAACGCGAAAGGGGCUUCGGCCCUGAGUAGAGUGGCGAACGGGUGAGUAACGCGUGGGUGAUCUACCUUCGAGUGGGGGAUAACGUUCCGAAAGGAGCGCUAAUACCGCAUGAAGUUCUGGGUUUCAAGACCUGGAAACCAAAGCCGGGGACCGCAAGGCCUGGCGCUUGAAGAGGAGCCCGCGUCCGAUUAGCUAGUUGGCGGGGUAACGGCCCACCAAGGCGACGAUCGGUAGCCGGCCUGAGAGGGCGGACGGCCACACUGGAACUGAGACACGGUCCAGACUCCUACGGGAGGCAGCAGUGGGGAAUUGUUCACAAUGGGCGCAAGCCUGAUGACGCAACGCCGCGUGGGGGAUGAAGGUCUUCGGAUUGUAAACCCCUGUCGAACGGACGAAAGACUCGGGAGCUAAUCAUCUCGAGAGUGACGGUACCGUUAAGGAAGCCACGGCUAACUCUGUGCCAGCAGCCGCGGUAAU